AACGAACGCUGGCGGCAUGCCUAACACAUGCAAGUCGAACGAGACCUUCGGGUCUAGUGGCGCACGGGUGCGUAACGCGUGGGAACCUGCCCUUAGGUUCGGAAUAACUCCCCGAAAGGGGUGCUAAUACCGGAUAAUGUCUUCGGACCAAAGAUUUAUCGCCUUUGGAUGGGCCCGCGUUGGAUUAGCUAGUUGGUAGGGUAAAAGCCUACCAAGGCGACGAUCCAUAGCUGGUCUGAGAGGAUGAUCAGCCACACUGGGACUGAGACACGGCCCAGACUCCUACGGGAGGCAGCAGUGGGGAAUAUUGGACCAUGGGCCAAAGCCUGAUCCAGCAAUGCCGCGUUGAUGAUGAAGGCCUUAGGGUUGUAAAGCUCUUUUACCCGGGAUGAUAAUGACAGUACCGGGAGAAUAAGCUCCGGCUAACUCCGUG
Molecule: ribosomal RNA, 433 nt
Filed under: uncultured bacterium
Lineage: Bacteria
Description: partial 16S ribosomal RNA
Rfam family: Bacterial small subunit ribosomal RNA
Source: RNAcentral